GAUGAACGCUGGCGGCGUGCUUAACACAUUCAAGUCGAACGGGACUCAUUUGAUUAAUCCUUCGGGAAGCGUUGAAUGAGUUUAGUGGCGGACGGGUGAGUAACGCGUGAGCAAUUUACCUUUGUGAGUGGAAUAACACCCGGAAACAGGUGCUAAUACCGCAUAACGUAUCGAUGUCGCAUGGCAAUGAUACCAAAGAGAAAUCGCACAAAGAUGAGCUCGCGUCCGAUUAGAUAGUUGGUGAGGUAACGGCCCACCAAGUCGACGAUCGGUAGCCGGACUGAGAGGGUGACCGGCCACAUUGGGACUGAGACACGGCCCAAACUCCUACGGGAGGCAGCAGUGGGGAAUAUUGCACAAUGGGGGAAACCCUGAUGCAGCGACGCCGCGUGAGCGAAGAAGUAUUUCGGUAUGUAAAGCUCUAUCAGCAGGGAAGAAAAUGACGGUACCUGACUAAGAAGCCCCGGNUAACUACGUGCCAGCAGCCGUGGU
This 492-nucleotide ribosomal RNA is filed under the name uncultured bacterium. RNAcentral describes it as "bacterial SSU rRNA". It matches the Rfam family "Bacterial small subunit ribosomal RNA", at positions 28 to 521 of the family's 1533-position model. The record is from RNAcentral.